CGAACACUAGGUGUCGGGGGAAUCGACCCCCUCGGUGUCGUAGCCAACGCGUUAAGUGUUCCGCCUGGGGAGUACGCACGCAAGUGUGAAACUCAAAGGAAUUGACGGGGGCCCGCACAAGCGGUGGAGUAUGUGGUUUAAUUCGAUGCAACGCGAAGAACCUUACCUAGGCUUGACAUGCUUGUCGUACUCUCCCGAAAAGGAGAGGUCACUUCGGGUGGACAAUGCACAGGUGCUGCAUGGCC
This 245-nucleotide ribosomal RNA is filed under the name uncultured Limnothrix sp. RNAcentral's name for it is "partial 16S ribosomal RNA". It matches the Rfam family "Bacterial small subunit ribosomal RNA", at positions 810 to 1050 of the family's 1533-position model. Lineage: Bacteria; Bacillati; Cyanobacteriota; Cyanophyceae; Pseudanabaenales; Pseudanabaenaceae. The record is from RNAcentral.